Molecule: ribosomal RNA, 1248 nt
Filed under: metagenome
Description: bacterial SSU rRNA
Rfam family: Bacterial small subunit ribosomal RNA
Source: RNAcentral
AGAGGGGGACAACAGUUGGAAACGACUGCUAAUACCGCAUAAGCCCACGGCUCGGCAUCGAGCAGAGGGAAAAGGAGCAAUCCGCUUUGAGAUGGCCUCGCGUCCGAUUAGCUAGUUGGUGAGGUAACGGCCCACCAAGGCGACGAUCGGUAGCCGGACUGAGAGGUUGAACGGCCACAUUGGGACUGAGACACGGCCCAGACUCCUACGGGAGGCAGCAGUGGGGAAUAUUGCACAAUGGGGGAAACCCUGAUGCAGCGACGCCGCGUGGAGGAAGAAGGUCUUCGGAUUGUAAACUCCUGUUGUUGGGGAAGAUAAUGACGGUACCCAACAAGGAAGUGACGGCUAACUACGUGCCAGCAGCCGCGGUAAAACGUAGGUCACAAGCGUUGUCCGGAAUUACUGGGUGUAAAGGGAGCGCAGGCGGGAAGACAAGUUGGAAGUGAAAUCUAUGGGCUCAACCCAUAAACUGCUUUCAAAACUGUUUUUCUUGAGUAGUGCAGAGGUAGUGGAAUUCCCGGUGUAGCGGUGGAAUGCGUAGAUAUCGGGAGGAACACCAGUGGCGAAGGCGGCCUACUGGGCACCAACUGACGCUGAGGCUCGAAAGUGUGGGUAGCAAACAGGAUUAGAUACCCUGGUAGUCCACACCGUAAACGAUGAUUACUAGGUGUUGGAGGAUUGACCCCUUCAGUGCCGCAGUUAACACAAUAAGUAAUCCACCUGGGGAGUACGACCGCAAGGUUGAAACUCAAAGGAAUUGACGGGGGCCCGCACAAGCAGUGGAGUAUGUGGUUUAAUUCGACGCAACGCGAAGAACCUUACCAAGUCUUGACAUCCCUUGACAGGCAUAGAAAUAUGUUUUCUCUUCGGAGCAAGGAGACAGGUGGUGCAUGGUUGUCGUCAGCUCGUGUCGUGAGAUGUUGGGUUAAGUCCCGCAACGAGCGCAACCCUUAUGGUCAGUUACUACGCAAGAGGACUCUGGCCAGACUGCCGUUGACAAAACGGAGGAAGGUGGGGAUGACGUCAAAUCAUCAUGCCCUUUAUGACUUGGGCUACACACGUACUACAAUGGCGUUAAACAAAGAGAAGCAAGACCGCGAGGUGGAGCAAAACUCAGAAACAACGUCCCAGUUCGGACUGCAGGCUGCAACUCGCCUGCACGAAGUCGGAAUUGCUAGUAAUCGUGGAUCAGCAUGCCACGGUGAAUACGUUCCCGGGCCUUGUACACACCGCCCGUCACACCAAAAC